This 72-nucleotide ribozyme is filed under the name Crocodylus porosus (Australian saltwater crocodile). RNAcentral describes it as "Mammalian CPEB3 ribozyme (ENSCPRG00005005505.1)". It matches the Rfam family "Mammalian CPEB3 ribozyme". From Rfam's summary of the family: The mammalian CPEB3 ribozyme is a self cleaving RNA located in the second intron of the CPEB3 gene which belongs to a family of genes regulating messenger RNA polyadenylation. This ribozyme is highly conserved and found only in mammals. Lineage: Eukaryota; Metazoa; Chordata; Crocodylia; Crocodylidae. The record is from Rfam by way of RNAcentral.
ACAGGUUUGAGGCCACAGCAGAAGUCUCAUGACACAGUCCUGUCAGAUUCCAACAAAUCUGCAAAUUCUGCU